AGUGAACGCCGGCGGCAGGCCUAACACAUGCAAGUCGAACGGCAGCACAGUAAGAGCUUGCUCUUACGGGUGGCGAGUGGCGGACGGGUGAGGAAUACAUCGGAGUCUACUUUUUCGUGGGGGAUAACGUAGGGAAACUUACGCUAAUACCGCAUACGACCUACGGGUGAAAGCAGGGGAUCUUCUGACCUUGCUCGAUUGAAUGAGCCGAUGUCGGAUUAGCUAGUUGGCGGGGUAAAGGCCCACCAAGGCGACGAUCCGUAGCUGGUCUGAGAGGAUGAUCAGCCACCCUGGAAGUGAGACACGGUACAGACUCCUACGGGAGGCAGCAGUGGGGAAUAUUGGGCAAUGGGGGAGAGCCUGAUCCAGGCAUACCGCGUGGGUGCAGAAGGACUUCGGGUUGUAAAGCCCUUUUGUUGGGAAAGAAAAGCAGCAGGUUAAUACCCCGCUGUUCUGACGGUACCCAACGAAUAAGCACCGGCUAACUUCGUG
This 492-nucleotide ribosomal RNA is filed under the name uncultured bacterium. RNAcentral's name for it is "partial 16S ribosomal RNA". It matches the Rfam family "Bacterial small subunit ribosomal RNA", at positions 29 to 507 of the family's 1533-position model. The record is from RNAcentral.